CCCUUAGAUGUUCUGGGCCGCACGCGCGCUACACUGAUUCAUGCAACGAGUUUUGUCCUUGGCUGAAAGGCCUGGGUAAUCUUUGAACGUGAAUCGUGCUGGGGAUAGAUGAUUGCAAUUAUUCAUCUUCAACGAGGAAUUCCUAGUAAACGCAAGUCAUCAGCUUGCAUUGAUUACGUCCCUGCCCUUUGUACACACCGCCCGUCGCGCCUACCGAUUGAAUGGUCCGGUGAAAUCUUCGGAUCUGAGAGAUGUUGGAUUAAUUUCUGACGCCUUUUGGAAAAGUCGCUUAAACCUUAUCAUUUAGAGGAAGGUGAAGUCGUAACA
Molecule: ribosomal RNA, 327 nt
Filed under: uncultured eukaryote
Lineage: Eukaryota
Description: partial 18S ribosomal RNA
Rfam family: Eukaryotic small subunit ribosomal RNA
Source: RNAcentral